RNAcentral lists this ribosomal RNA (429 nucleotides) under Bacteroidota bacterium. RNAcentral's name for it is "Bacteroidetes bacterium partial 16S ribosomal RNA". It matches the Rfam family "Bacterial small subunit ribosomal RNA", at positions 355 to 776 of the family's 1533-position model. The record is from RNAcentral. Lineage: Bacteria; Pseudomonadati; Bacteroidota.
UAGGGAAUCUUCGGCAAUGGGGGGAACCCUGACCGAGCAACGCCGCGUGAGUGAAGAAGGUUUUCGGAUCGUAAAGCUCUGUUGUUAAGGAAGAACGAGCGUGAGAAUGGAAAGUUCAUGCUGUGACGGUACUUAACCAGAAAGGGCCGGCUAACUACGUGCCAUCAGCCGCGGUAAUACGUAGGUCCCGAGCGUUGUCCGGAUUUAUUGGGCGUAAAGCGAGCGCAGGCGGUUAGAAAAGUCUGAAGUGAAAGGCAGUAGCUCAACCAUUGUAGGCUUUGGAAACUGUUUGACUUGAGUGCAGAAGGGGAGAGUGGAAUUCCAUGUGUAGCGGUGAAAUGCGUAGAUAUAUGGAGGAACACCGGUGGCGAAAGCGGCUCGCUGGUCUGUAACUGACGCUGAGGCUCGAAAGCGUGGGGAGCGAACAGG